Molecule: ribosomal RNA, 861 nt
Filed under: uncultured bacterium
Lineage: Bacteria
Description: bacterial SSU rRNA
Rfam family: Bacterial small subunit ribosomal RNA
Source: RNAcentral
AGAGUUUGAUUAUGGCUCAGGAUGAACGCUAGCGGCAGGCCUAACACAUGCAAGUCGAGGGGUAGAGUAAGCUUGCUUACUUGAGACCGGCGCACGGGUGCGUAACGCGUAUGCAAUCUACCUUAUACAGGGGAAUAGCCCAGAGAAAUUUGGAUUAAUGCCCCAUGGUAUUAUAGAGUGGCAUCACUUUAUAAUUAAAGUUCCAACGGUAUAAGAUGAGCAUGCGUCCCAUUAGUUAGUUGGUAAGGUAACGGCUUACCAAGACGAUGAUGGGUAGGGGUCCUGAGAGGGAGAUCCCCCACACUGGUACUGAGACACGGACCAGACUCCUACGGGAGGCAGCAGUGAGGAAUAUUGGUCAAUGGGCGCAAGCCUGAACCAGCCAUGCCGCGUGCAGGAAGACGGUCCUAUGGAUUGUAAACUGCUUUUAUACAGGAAGAAACCCUCCCACGUGUGGGAGAUUGACGGUACUGUAGGAAUAAGGAUCGGCUAACUCCGUGCCAGCAGCCGCGGUAAUACGGAGGAUCCAAGCGUUAUCCGGAAUCAUUGGGUUUAAAGGGUCCGUAGGCGGUCUUAUAAGUCAGUGGUGAAAUCCCAUCGCUCAACGAUGGAACUGCCAUUGAUACUGUAAGACUUGAAUGCUUAGGAAGUAACUAGAAUAUGUAGUGUAGCGGUGAAAUGCUUAGAUAUUACAUGGAAUACCAAUUGCGAAGGCAGGUUACUACUAAGUGAUUGACGCUGAUGGACGAAAGCGUGGGGAGCGAACAGGAUUAGAUACCCUGGUAGUCCACGCCGUAAACGAUGGAUACUAGCUGUUCGGAGCAAUCUGAGUGGCUAAGCGAAAGUGAUAAGUAUCCCACC